Molecule: long non-coding RNA, 4697 nt
Organism: Engraulis encrasicolus (European anchovy)
Lineage: Eukaryota; Metazoa; Chordata; Actinopteri; Clupeiformes; Engraulidae
Exons: 5
Source: RefSeq, a predicted model, not a curated record
GGCCCACCUGACCUGACAGCUGGCUUGGCACAACCGAAUCCAUGUGAGAGCUCAGCUGUGUGACCACCCCUCCAUCUUCAAGGAGCAAAUUAGUCGUGACAGAUUCAGGGCAAGUGUUCAAAGUGAGCUCCAGCACCAGUACAAGACCAGGCGGCCUCCUUGGCAGAGGCAGCCCAGGGUGGUGAUGCGAUGGUGGGGAGAGCUGCACAGGACAGGCAGCAGCUGCGGGCAUGCAUUUGAGGUUGGCAAAAGGUGAGGUGGAUGUGCAUCGCCCAGCCGGUAGGGGAGCUACUUCUCUGGAUACACAUUUCACAGAGACGAUGCACUUGAAUCUAUUCCAGAAGAAGAUGCGAGGAACUGCACCAGCAUUCUACCAGCGUUUUGAUGUGUAGGUUUGGACAAUAUGAGCUUGGCACAAGGUCAACGCUAUAGCUUCAAACGUGACUCCAAGCCCCCUCUGGACUUGCCUCCGAUGCCAUUCUAUUCAGACAACAACAGAGAUCCUCUGCAGAGCGCGCUGAAUGGGCUCCAGUGGUCCAAUACGGCGGGCACAACAACAACCAAGUUGUUUGUUGAAUCGGUUUACAUGCAGUUCACUACGCCUGCUAUAACAUGUUCUUGCAUAUGAUGUUAACUUGUCAAUUUCGAAAUAAAAAUCUAAUUUCUGGUGAAAAUACAAAAGGGCGUUUCGAUUAAUUAUCUUUACAAUGCAAACAAAACACAAUGACACCACACUUCUCGCUCGUACCCAAGACAUCAGCAGGAAUCAGAAUUUCAGCAGGCUAUUCAUGCAACCUCAUUCCAUCCAAAAACAAUCAUGGAUGUCCGAGUAAGGGAGUUGAACACAUUUUGUAAUGCACCCUUUAUGGAGGGAUAGCCUACCAAGAAGGCGUUCUUGCCCUUAUCUCCCUCAAUUGCGCCUCUAAAAUCAAUCUUGUUUUAGGAACGAUUUGUUAUCCAGAGCUCAGUGAAUUGCUGUCAAAAGGCUUGUCACACAGAGGCAUUCAGCAUGCAUAUUACAAGUCCAGCCCUAGACAAGCUGCAACACCAUUAACAUGACAUAUUACUCCACACAAGUCUGCGCCCCGUGCACCAUUCAAUCCAUAACAUUUGAAAAAUCAAGACGUUAAAAUAACAUUCCCAAAUUAACCGGGUAUUUUAAUUGGUGGGGUUUUCACACGCCUACAUCAGCUUAUUUGGUAGGCCUAUGUGAGUUAUUUCAGUGGGAUUUAAAAUAAGAAUAAAUAUCCCAUUCUUAAAAUGAGUAAAUGUUGAAUAGGCUAUUUCAGCUAAGGAAUUAAAAUGUGCACACAGCAUUUCUUUCCGCGCCAUGAAAGAACGUGAUUAAAUUCAUUAACUUGCUGGAGAGCAAGUCUGUCCUGCGCAUUUUUAAUUAAUUACAUGCAGAAAAUGCAAGAUAUCUGCCCCAUGACAGCCAGACGCAGCCAUGCACAAACUACAAAAAACGAGGUGUGUUGCAUAUCUGAAGUCACAUUAUAGAUAUUGUGUUUCCAAAUAAUUAAACGGUGGGUUCCUCACAGCGAUUUGACACAGGAAAAUCUCAAAAUAAGUUCAGUUUGUCUCCUGUGUCUCACAUGGUUGAGCACAUUGGCUGCAUUGGAGCAGGAAUCUUUGAUGUACUAGCUCAGCAAGGCCAUAACUCAGCGCCUUCGUGAGUAUACUACAAUUCUCCGUGAACUCUGUGUGAACCACGCUGGUGGCAAUAAAUCAUUUUUCUUUCUCUCAGAAAAGCACACCGGUCUCUCUGGGUGUCAAGCCUUUUAUAAUUCCUCCUUACCUUCUGCGCUCUUCUUGUGUCUGCCGACAUUAGCAGCUGCACAAAGCAUCGAUAUACCAGCAUCAAAUGUCGGACCAGCAUAAACUUUAGCUUAAGGAAAAAAAUAAAAACCCGGAAAAUUACGCACACAUCUUUUGCCACCACAAACAAAUCUACUAGGGUUCCAACGAUGCUAUAGUACAUUUUCAUGUAUUUCAGAAUGUUUUAAAACGUUUUUAAAAUGAUGUAUGUGUUUAUUGGGGCUGCUUAGUCAAUUUACUGACUUAUCAAUUAAUGACGGCAAUUAAAGAAGCACAUGAUUGCAGGAUAGCCUAAGCUGCUUUGAAAGUGGUUCGACUUACUAUUUGAAACACAUCCUCAGUCAAUCUAAGAGGACAUCAUGCGAACAUGCUGCUGUUGCACAUUCACAUGGCGGACUGCAGAAACCAACCCCUGUCAUCAGGGUGGUAACCGUCCAUGCAAAAGUCCCUAUUCUGGAAAAAAAACACAGGGUGUGCAGCUCCACGGCAGGGUGAUGUAGGCUGCUCUGGAACAAAGGCGUUAACGAUCCGUUUUCUAUGCUAUGGAGUUGAGCAUGAGAAGAGAUAAGGUGGUGGAGGAGAGAGUAGGAGGGAAGGAGAGCGAGAGAGGGGGAGACUCGAGGAGAGAAUGCUAAUGGAAAAGGGAUGUUUUUGGUUAUAACGAUGCAUACAAAUGUGCCUGUCUCGGUAGACCAACCGGAAGAUUUAUGGCAGAUGGGUCCUGUAUCACUGUAAACAAUGCAGAGUUGAAUUAAAGCAGUGGAAAUGUGUGGGGAGUGCACCUGACAGCUACAGCUACUGGGAGGACAGGUGAUGUCACAGCACAAGUUUUGAUUUGAAUUUGCAUCUGCAAUGCACCUUGCAAAAUGGUGCUGAGAAGAAAAGUGGCACACUUGGUGAUUAAAGUGUAGUUAAGAGUUUAAACUUGCAAAUGUAUGCAAGUAUCUCAGAAUUUCAUUGUAUCUCAGUAUUUCACCUCAAUUCACACCACCUGCGCCUUUAGGCCAUAUACCCCAAUUUGGGAAAAUUGAACUGUAGAGAGUUUGAGGAUUCAGAUCAUUUGAUACUGUUGUGCUGCAUAGUCACAGUAGGCUAUGUCAAAUGCUUGGCAUUAACAACUAAAACCAAAGCCAUGCAGUUGCAAAUCAGUCAUAGAAUGUUGCCUGCUGCUUCAGUGUAUUACUUAAAAAAUGUGUUCGACUUCCUAACUGUAUGGCCAUCAGAAGACAAGUGUUCAGCCUGAUGCAUUCUACUAAAAACAUAAAGUAAUGUACCCUACUACAUCCACAGUGUCUAUCAUCCAGCUGAUGAAUCAAAGAGUGUUUCAUUUUAUGCUACCCACCUACAGCCAGAACAAAGGUGGGCCAUUUCAGGAAAAAAAAAAACAAUCACUCCAAAUACAGAAGGGUUCUAAAAUGGCCGCAUACCAUACCAUACCAUACCAAUUAUAUGUUCACUUACUCAGUGCAGUGUUUUUGACUGGCUAACUGUAUGUCCACCAUAAACAACCAGCGCGAAGGGGAAAAACACAACCAGUACCUAAUUCUACAGUAUUCUAUAUAGGGUAUGGCGGCAUAACAUACCAUAUUAGUCACUAUACACUCACUCACUCGAUCACUCCCCCGCAGAUUCAUCAGAUGACAUAACUUUAUGUUAUUAACUAUAUACAUCUAUAUACUGCUAUAAUUCAAUGGCUACCUUUCCAUCAACAAAUAGGCCUAAGUUUCAAGCCUGAUACACUAUACAAAAAAAAACACAUGUAGACUGCUAUGGUACGUCCAAGGUGUCCAACAACCAGCUGGUGAAUUUACAGUAGGCCUAUCCUCCUACAUUACACAGCAUCCCCACUUACAACCAGAGCCAAUGUAGGCCAUUUCAGGGGGAAACCCAUUCAGGCCCAAUUCUGCUGUAUUCUAAUACGACUGCAUACCAUACCCAUUAUACACUCUUUCACUCAAUCCCCCUGCAGAUUCAUGAGAUGAAAUAAAUCAUUGUCACACAAUAUAAUUCGCUAGUUAAAUCUAUCACUUACAAAAUGCAAUCAUAAAAAUGUUUCUUACCCGAUGCAUUGUUCUAAAAUAACCUCAUGUAAUAUAGAAAAAAUGGCCGCAUACCAUACCAUACCAUACCAUACCAUACCAUACCAUACCAUAUCGUAUUCACUAUACAUUCACUCACUCACUGACUCUCGGUACCCCCUGCAGAUUCAUAAGACGAGAUAAAUCAUUUGGGCUGCGCAUCCCGCCUCACGACCUCCGUGUGACCUCAUAUGUGCUCUGCCGGGAGAGCAGAGCAGAGCAGAGCAGAGCAGAGCAGACAGCAUGCAGGGCAGGACAGGACAAUGGGCCGCUCUCAACCAGUGCCACCACCGCCGAGGCCAGUGCUCACACACACACACAUGGCCAUUCUCUACACAAAACCAAACGUUUUCUAAGCUUUAUCAUCCUGGUCACAAUAGUUAUUAUUACAAUGUGAUAUUUUGUGAUUAAUGAAUUGCUAGGAUGUGUUUUUUUCCACAGUUUGGCUUUGAUAGUGCCCGCUUACUUCAUGCCUAUUUUGAAUUCAGGAAUUAAAAAAUGGUAAUAAUCUGAAGCGCGUAGGGAGGUCAUCAUGCAUUGCUGGUGGUGAGGUGGUGGCGGCGGCCACGCCUCAGGAAUAGUGGUCAAGCAUGCAUGAGAUAUUUCGAGAUUGCCAUGGGAUGUGUCGAUUGAUCGAGCGGGAGGGAGGCUUCUUCCAUCUUGUUUCCAACAUGUCUAGGGACCUCUAAUGACCUACGAGAGCAUAGGGGGAGACUACAGAUGAGGAGGGUCUUGCCUGAUAAGUCAUCUCUCACACACACACACACACACACACACACACACACACACACACACACACAC